GACGAGCCUCACAAACGUUAUUCGGAAUUACUGGGCUUAAAGGGUGCGUAGGCGGCGCGGAAAGUUGGGUGUGAAAUCCCUCGGCUCAACCGAGGAAUUGCGCUCAAUACUACCGUGCUCGAGGGAGAUAGAGGAAUGCGGAACUUAGGGUGGAGCGGUGAAAUGCGUUGAUAUCCUAGGGAACACCGGUGGCGAAAGCGGCAUUCUGGAUCUCAUCUGACGCUGAUGCACGAAAGCUAGGGUAGCAAACAGG
This 253-nucleotide unclassified non-coding RNA is filed under the name uncultured Pirellulaceae bacterium. RNAcentral describes it as "contains 16S-23S intergenic spacer region". It matches the Rfam family "Bacterial small subunit ribosomal RNA", at positions 524 to 776 of the family's 1533-position model. The record is from RNAcentral. Lineage: Bacteria; Pseudomonadati; Planctomycetota; Planctomycetia; Pirellulales; Pirellulaceae.